Molecule: ribosomal RNA, 497 nt
Filed under: uncultured bacterium
Lineage: Bacteria
Description: partial 16S ribosomal RNA
Rfam family: Bacterial small subunit ribosomal RNA
Source: RNAcentral
GAUGAACGCUGGCGGCGUGCCUAAUACAUGCAAGUCGAGCGAACAGACGAGGAGCUUGCUCCUCUGACGUUAGCGGCGGACGGGUGAGUAACACGUGGAUAACCUACCUAUAAGACUGGGAUAACUUCGGGAAACCGGAGCUAAUACCGGAUAAUAUAUUGAACCGCAUGGUUCAAUAGUGAAAGACGGUUUUGCUGUCACUUAUAGAUGGAUCCGAGCCGCAUUAGCUAGUUGGUAAGGUAACGGCUUACCAAGGCAACGAUGCGUAGCCGACCGGAGAGGGUGAUCGGCCACACUGGAACUGAGACACGGUCCAGACUCCUACGGGAGGCAGCAGUAGGGAAUCUGCCGCAAUGGGCGAAAACCUGACGGAGCAACGCCGCGUGAGUGAUGAAGGUCUUCGGAUCGUAAAACUCUGUUAUUAGGGAAGAACAAAUGUGUAAGUAACUAUGCACGUCUUGACGGUACCUAAUCAGAAAGCCACGGCUAACUACGUG